UUCCAAUGCUUGGCCUUUUCUUCCU
Molecule: non-coding RNA, 25 nt
Filed under: Rattus norvegicus (Norway rat)
Lineage: Eukaryota; Metazoa; Chordata; Mammalia; Rodentia; Muridae
Source: RNAcentral